AGAGCCCCUAGAAGCUUCAUAGGUGUGGUGGCUGUGUCAUAUGUGCUUCUGUAGCUGACAGAGAGGAUAUGUCUACAUACUCAUUGUUCUGACCUAUGAACAUCUGAACGAUAAAUAGCUUACAUU
This is a small nucleolar RNA of Arvicanthis niloticus (Nile rat), 126 nucleotides long. RefSeq annotates it as small nucleolar RNA SNORA17. The record is from RefSeq and is a predicted model, not a curated record. NCBI's taxonomy places the organism in Eukaryota, Metazoa, Chordata, Mammalia, Rodentia, Muridae.